GAUCAUGGCUCAGAACGAACGCUGGUGGCGUGUCUAUACAUGCAAGUCGAGCGAGGCAGCAAUGCCGAGCGGCGAACGGGUGAGUAACGCGUAAGCAAUCUGCCCCAUAUCAGGAAAUACCCGUGCCAACGCGCGGUUAAUGUCCAGGAGAGUGGCCCCCUGCAUGGGGGGUUGACUAGAGAUUUAUCGGUAUGGGAUGAGCUUGCGUUCGAUUAGCUAGUUGGCGGGCAACGGCCCACCAAGGCGACGAUCGGUAGCCGGCCUGAGAGGGUGAUCGGCCACAUUGGGACUGAGAUACGGCCCAGACUCCUACGGGAGGCAGCAGUAGGGAAUAUUGCACAAUGGGGGAAACCCUGAUGCAGCAGCGCCAACCGUGUGGGAAGAAGCAUUUCGGUGUGUAAACCACUGUCAUGAGGGAAUAAGGCCCGCCUUCGGACGGGAUUGAAUGUACCUUGAGAGGAAGCACCGGCAAACUUCGUGCCAGCCGCCGC
Molecule: ribosomal RNA, 491 nt
Filed under: uncultured bacterium
Lineage: Bacteria
Description: bacterial SSU rRNA
Rfam family: Bacterial small subunit ribosomal RNA
Source: RNAcentral